Nematolebias whitei (Rio pearlfish) is the source of this 277-nucleotide long non-coding RNA. RefSeq lists it as uncharacterized. Lineage: Eukaryota; Metazoa; Chordata; Actinopteri; Cyprinodontiformes; Rivulidae. The record is from RefSeq and is a predicted model, not a curated record. The transcript has 3 exons.
CCCUGCAGUACAAGACACAGAAAAGCCUCCACACAACCUUGAUCCUUGAUUGUGAUAACUGGGGAGUGGAUUGGAAGAGGCUUUAGAUUAUUUAGGGCUAAAACUGACAGGGCAGCUCGGCACUUGUAGCCGGAAGGUUUCAGAGGACAUUUGCUGAGUGCAGCAGUCAUGGCUGCUGGCUUCCUGAUUUUAAGAUUGUUGCUUUUUUGGAUAUUCAGUGAUGCAACACACUCCUAUUUUUGGCCGAAAGACAAUUCUGGAUAUCGUACAGCUUUGC